Molecule: transfer RNA, 72 nt
Filed under: Loxodonta africana (African savanna elephant)
Lineage: Eukaryota; Metazoa; Chordata; Mammalia; Proboscidea; Elephantidae
Rfam family: tRNA
About the family: Transfer RNA (tRNA) molecules are approximately 80 nucleotides in length.
Source: Rfam by way of RNAcentral
GCCCCAGUGGCUCAGUGGUUAAGCAUUCAGCUGCUAACCUAAAGGUUGGUGGUUCGAAACUAUCCAAUGGCU